Molecule: unclassified non-coding RNA, 240 nt
Filed under: soil metagenome
Description: partial contains 5.8S ribosomal RNA, internal transcribed spacer 2, and large subunit ribosomal RNA
Source: RNAcentral
AACAAGGCGUACCUGCGGACCUGCGGAAGGAUCAUUACGAGAGUGUCACCACUCCCAACCCAUUGUUUACCUACCCGUCCACCGUGCUUCGGCAGGCAGCCCUGUGGGACAGAGCCUCGCCCCCCUCCGCGGGGGGGUGCCUGCCGCUGGCCAACCAACAACUCUAGCUGUUUUAGUACCAUCUGAGUCUUCCACAAAUGAACAAAACUUUCAACAAUGGAUCUCAGAUCGGAAGAGCAC